CUAGGGCUUUAAGUUAAAAAAAAACUGUAAACCUUCAAAGUUUAAAUUAGUGUAAAUUGCCUUAGC
RNAcentral lists this transfer RNA (66 nucleotides) under Eclysippe vanelli. Its description in RNAcentral is "tRNA-Trp". Lineage: Eukaryota; Metazoa; Annelida; Polychaeta; Terebellida; Ampharetidae. The record is from RNAcentral.